Manis javanica (Malayan pangolin) is the source of this 388-nucleotide non-coding RNA. NCBI's taxonomy places the organism in Eukaryota, Metazoa, Chordata, Mammalia, Pholidota, Manidae. The record is from RefSeq and is a predicted model, not a curated record.
GGGAGACCGGGGGCGCCGCAGCUGGACUGCGACCUGGAGAGAGAGCAGGGCUGCGGCUCGCGCUCCCAAGCCCAGUCGCUGCCUGGGGGCGGUGACCGCGGAAGGUCCCUUUCUGAUCUGCCACCUGCUAUUUCGAGGGAUGUUUCGUUGAUAAGAACGCAAAGUUCUAAGGAAACAACUUUUGGGGCAUUUGAGGGACAGAGAGAGGACUGUGUCUAUCAGAUUUCCUGCAAACUUCCUGCAUUCCCCCGAAAAUGACCCGCAUCAGCCCUGCGCCUCACAUCUUUUACGCUUUAGAGAAACAGCAUUCUGGGACUCUCCCGAUUCUGUGCUCCCGAUGCUCACGCUCUCUAACUAGCAUACUGUAAAAACGCCCUCCUUUUCCCCA